CGUCUAUAUACGUAUAGCAUAUCAAUAAGCGGAGGAAAAGAAACUAACAAGGAUUCCCUUAGUAACGGCGAGUGAAGCGGGAAGAGCUCAAAUUUGAAAUCUUCAAGGUUCUACCUUGACGAAUUGUAGUUUAAAGAAGUGUUUUCUGUUAGAGGAGUAGCAAAAGUUCCUUGGAAUGGGACAUCAUAGAGGGUGAGAAUCCCGUAUUUGGUUACUUCUUUCUAGCUUUGUGAUACACUUUCAAAGAGUCGGAUUGUUUGGGAAUGCAGUCCAAAAUGGGUGGUAAAUUUCAUCUAAAGCUAAAUAUUGGCGAGAGACCGAUAGCGAACAAGUACCGUGAGGGAAAGAUGAAAAGAACUUUGAAAAGAGAGUUAAACAGUACGUGAAAUUGUCAAAAGGGAAGCGUUUGACACCAGUGUUGUUUUUCUGAAAAUCAAUUAAGAGUGGCUUGAUUUUGUGUUGUAUUGACCUUAUCAGCUUUCUUCACUCUUUUUCGAGUCUUUCUUAAUGCACUUUUCGGUUAACAAGUCAACAUCAAUUUCUUUUGUUGUAAAAGGGUAUUUGGAAGGUGGCUUUCUUUUCGGAGAAAGUGUUUAUAGCCUUAUGACCUCCUAGCAAUCGGAGAGAUUGAGGUCUGCAGCGUAGAUCCUUCGGGGCUAGAUACACUUGUGCUAAGUUAUAGCUUUUCAUAGACAACUUGUUGACUAUGUUUAGUCAUGUAGCUUACCCGCUUGUGCUAUUUUACCUACGCUUAGGAUGUUGAGUCAUCACACAUCUCU
Molecule: ribosomal RNA, 779 nt
Filed under: uncultured Neocallimastigales
Lineage: Eukaryota; Fungi; Neocallimastigomycota; Neocallimastigomycetes; Neocallimastigales
Description: partial large subunit ribosomal RNA
Rfam family: Eukaryotic large subunit ribosomal RNA
Source: RNAcentral